Long non-coding RNA from Dromiciops gliroides (monito del monte), 582 nucleotides. RefSeq lists it as uncharacterized. The record is from RefSeq and is a predicted model, not a curated record. The transcript is spliced from 2 exons. NCBI's taxonomy places the organism in Eukaryota, Metazoa, Chordata, Mammalia, Microbiotheria, Microbiotheriidae.
AGGAGCAGAUUUAGAACUCUGGAGACCGACUGUUCUCAGAGAACGGACUGGCAGAGAGAAAAGCUGUAAAGAAGGCAUUCCGAGGAUGAAAUCUGCAGCACAUGCAGCUCCCACAAAGUCCUAUUUUAUCGGAUCCGAGGGCAAAUACGGAUCUUUCCCUCCUCGUUUUCCCGCUGAAUAUGGUACAGUCCGCGGGUGGCCGGAACAAAAGGGGGGGGGGCGCUUCACGUGACUGAACAAUUCCAGAGUCACGUGACUCCGAAGGUCUCCCUGUUAACCUCUCCGAACAUUAACACUUUGGAACCAGGAAUAGCAUCUUCGGACCAUCUCAGCAUUAAGCUCCAAUUCUCUGGAGUCAGUGGGCCUCUGUGAUCCAAACUAGAGGCUUGGGAGUCAUCAGGAAAGUAAUUUCUCAUUGAGAGAAAGCCAUAUGCUUCGUGCUUCAAGCUAUAAGACCCAUCUUAUCUAACUCCCUUGUUUGCCAGAAAGGAAAUUUAGGUUGUGGUUUGUCCAUUGUAACAGAGUUGAUGUCAUGGUCAGAAUUUGAACCCAGGUCUCUAAAUUAAAUGCUCUUUCCACUAU